This is a long non-coding RNA of Equus caballus (horse), 3827 nucleotides long. RefSeq lists it as uncharacterized. NCBI's taxonomy places the organism in Eukaryota, Metazoa, Chordata, Mammalia, Perissodactyla, Equidae. The record is from RefSeq and is a predicted model, not a curated record.
GGAACCCGCCUCCCCUGCCCCGCCCGUUCAGGACUCGCCCAAACCGUUCAGGUCCUUGGUCUUUCGUCCCACUUUGCCCUGCUAGGCCAUCAGGUCCUCAUCCCCCUUGCUCCAAAUUUGGGGUAGGAAGACGACUGCAUCUUCUCUGGUCUGAUCGCUGAGUCAUAAGCUCUGGUAGCUGCUACUUAGAAAUCAUGGGCUCUCGGUGGAGGAAGAUUUUGCCUGAGGCCAAACUAUGUGACAUUGAGAGUCUGAACUAGAAACUCAGGAGACUUGACUCCUUGCGCGGUGCUCCUUCCCGUACCGCACGCUGCCCUUUGGCCGAAUCGGUUCUGCGUAGUCUCCUGGGCCACAAGCCUCGCUAGGACCUCUUCUCCAACCUCCCUGACUCAGUGGAGGGGUUAACCCAGAAGGGCGACUGGCGUCCCGGCGGAGAUCUGGCCGCGUUGGUUGCCCGCCAGGCAGGCCCUUCGCUUGCAGAACAAACCACAGCGCUGCCGCUGAGCCUAGCGCGGCUUUCGCAAACGUUGGUGGCCCCCCAAAGGGGCCCCGGACCCGGCGGUGUGCAGUUCUUUCCACGCCCCUGCUCCUGUUUUCUCCUCCCAAAUACCUAAAGAGGGGCAUCAGCAGCCUUUUCCUGAUGAGAAACCAAAGCCCACAGAAGUGAAGAGGCUUGCCCAAGGUCAUACAGCAGAUAAGUGGCCAAGGCAGAAUUCAAACACAGAUCUGACCCAUCCCAAAGUCGUCCCUCAGCUCCCUGUUAUUCUCUGGGUCUGAGAAAUGGAACUGCCAAUACCUGUGGCAUUCACAAGGACACAGAAAGAUGCAAGGAUUUGUCCAACGUCUCAUACACUGGUCAGAUCUGUCUGUGGUCUGAGUCAGAGACCCUGAAAGAGAAAAGGCAGCCCAGGGGGACCGUGGUUCCAGAGUCCUGUCCAUCACCUGCCCUGUCCUCCCAGGACAGCAGCCAGUGGAGACGGAGCCUUACAGAGGGAAUGGUGUGUGCGGCUGUGGCCCAAAGCAGGAUCUCUCCAUCAGCUGAGAGUGGGGUGGGACAGGAGGUCAAGGCCUGAGGGGUCUACUUCUAUCCCAGCCUAGAAGGCUCAAGGUCUUGCUAAGAGAUCUAACCCCGCCCUUUCAGUCUCUUCCUGGCACCCUGGCCUGGCACCCUCUAGGAUGCAAUGCUGUUUAAUAAUUCAGCAGAUGCAGACAAAGAUAGCAGCUCUGAAAAUAACCUAACUAAACCCCAGCCUCCAUCUCCUCUUUCCCCAGCAGACUGCCCUGCCCUUCCCCCAAGGUCUCUGGUCGCCCCAUACACCUGUCAGUGCCCCUGGCUGCCAAUGGGCACCUGGUUCAACACUCUUCCUCUUCCUUCUAGUCUUUCUCCUCCUUCUCCCCUCUCCUCCUCACCUCCAUGAGAACUCCAUUCUCAUAUUAAAAGCUUUUAUAUUAAUUAGAGCUUAAAGAAAUCUUGUGCUAGAAGUAGACUUGGGUUUAAUUCAUUAUGUGGACUUGAGCAAGUUCCUUCUCUCUAAGCUUCUGUUCCUACAUUUGUAAAACGAGGUCUCUGGAUUCCUAAAUGGGCAUGAACAAAAUGUUUAGGGGGUGGCAAUUAUUUGGCCAGGGGACUAGAUAUCUUUCCUAGGAAGACAUAACAGCAGUGGCAGCGUCAUCUCAGUCAGCAGCACUGCAGUCCAUCCUGCUGCUCCAUCUGGAGAGCCCACAGGUUUUCUUUGUUUUUAAUUUCUCUUGUGAUGAAAAUUUUGCCCUGGUUAUCAUUCCUGGAAUAAAAGGCUGUGACUUGUGUUCACAAUGGUUGUAGCAGGUUCCACAUGCUUUCGGCACUUCAUCACAUUUCUGACAAGUAGAAAUUUUACUUGUCUCUGGAAGUUGGAAAGAGUAAUGCCCCUUCCCCCUUGAAGCUUUGCUCAAAUCACCCCCACCUUCAUGGGUCUCGGUUUUGACAUGUCUAAAGUGGCCAGGUGUUAAAGGGUAAGUAGGACAAGGUAAGACUCCGUGAUCUCUAGAUUGUAGCUCCAAAAGGGGUGAGAGCGUGUCUGUUUUCGUGCAUUCAUUCCACAGCGUGAUUAAGCACUUACUCUGUACCAGCCACUGUGCCAGGAGCAAGGGGCACAGCAGUAAAUAAAAGCAGCACAAGCCCUGUCCCUCGAAGCUUACAUUUCAGAAAUCAAAAUAAUUAAAUCCUAAGAAAUGUGCCAUGAAGGAAUAAUAAAAUACCUGCUACUAUUUACUUAGUGCUUACUCUGUACCAGGUACUGAUCCUAUGAGGUACUAUUAUUAGCAUACCCAUUUUACAGAUGAGGACACUGAAGGACAGAGUGGUCAAGUAAAUGUGGCCAAGGUCACACAGUCAAGGAGUAACUGACCUGGGAUUCAAUACUCAGGCAGUCUGCCUCCAGAGCCUGUUUUCAACCACAAUGCCAUAGUGCUUUCUUAGAAACCACGAGCAAGGAAUAAACUGGUGACAUGAUAGAAAGAGGAGUUGAGGAGGGCAUCUCCUUAGGAGGUGACAUUUAAGCUGAGACCUGAAAGAUGAGCAAGAGUCAGUCAUGUGGAAUUGGAGAGAGAAAUUUCCCAGCAGAAAAAAUAGUAUGUGCAAAGGUCCCGAGACAGAAAAAUCAGUGUGUUUGGUGCCUGGUAAGCCAGCAGGGAAAUGGGGAGACCUGAGGUCAGAGGAGCAGGCUGGGCCUGGAGGCCAGGAUGAGGAUUUUGGAUUUUACUCUAAGUAAGUGCAAGGGAUGCAUUUGAAAGGUUUAAGAGGGGAUCAACGUGAUCUGAUUUGUUUUUAAAAGAUCGUGCUAUUUGCUGUGUUGAGAAUAAACUGAAAGGGAGAAAGAGGGAAAAAGGGAGAGCAGUUAGGAGAUUACUGCAGUAAUCCAGCUGAGAGAGGACGGUGGCUAGGCCAGGAGUAAUGGCAAGAGGUGGGAGGGGGGAUAGAUUUGAUUUUUAUUUGGUGGUGAACCGAGAGGACUUGUGGAUGGAUUAGUGUGGGGGUGAGAGAAUGCCCUCUGGGUUUGCGGAUGGAGCAGCAGGAUGGAUUGGGGUGCCCUUGACUGAGAGGGGAAAGACCAAGGGAGGCACAGGUUUAGUGGAGAAAUCAAGGUCAGGAGGUUUUUUUUCCUAAAUGAUAAUCGCUUCAUUAAAAAAAUAAGAACAAAAAGGAUCUACAGUAAUAGGCCAUUAUAUCACCCCAUUUUUUAGUCCAACUAAUAAAUAUUAUACUUCACAGAGGGUGUACAUUUACUUUUAAAGGUGGGAAAAUUAUUUGAAAUAACUGGGAUCUACACUGCAUUCAGAUAAGAUGGUUGGAGUUACUGUGCACUGGAAAAUGAAUAUCUAACUCGUAAAAUCAUGUGUAUUGAGUAUCAUCUAUAUGGAAAGGCAAAACUCAAUAAAAAUACGAUACAGAGAGGAAAAAACAUAUUUCUAGUAAAGGUCUACAUGCAUAGGGGAUAGGUAAACUUUUGGAAAGAAUUUUGGUUUGGACAGAUUUUGGAAACUAUUUUCUGUUUUUCUUCUCUAUUUUGAAUACUCUACUCACAGAAUACUUCACUUCUGACACUUCUGGUCACCAAAUGUGUGUGUGUUUUUCCCAUACCUACCAAUUCUCCGACACCAGCUGGGUGUCCUGCAAUUCAGUUCAAUUCUGACGCUAACCGGAGCUAGCGCAGACCACAGAGGUUAAGGGUUCAUUCCCACACGACUGCUCCCCACUUCAGACCCCAAUCGCAAGUAGCAGGUCCCCAGGUUACCCACAACUUCUGUCCAGCUUGGUUAUAAAUCAGAGGUUCCCAUGACCCCUCCUU